Molecule: transfer RNA, 76 nt
Filed under: Ectopseudomonas mendocina
Lineage: Bacteria; Pseudomonadati; Pseudomonadota; Gammaproteobacteria; Pseudomonadales; Pseudomonadaceae
Also listed under: 18 other names
Description: tRNA-His
Rfam family: tRNA
About the family: Transfer RNA (tRNA) molecules are approximately 80 nucleotides in length. Their secondary structure includes four short double-helical elements and three loops (D, anti-codon, and T loops).
Source: RNAcentral
GUGGGCGUAGCUCAGUUGGUAGAGCACAGGAUUGUGGCUCCUGGUGUCGUGGGUUCGAUCCCCAUCGUCCACCCCA